RNAcentral lists this long non-coding RNA (575 nucleotides) under Cucumis sativus (cucumber). Its description in RNAcentral is "long non-coding RNA (CSAT_LNC000339)". The record is from RNAcentral. Lineage: Eukaryota; Viridiplantae; Streptophyta; Magnoliopsida; Cucurbitales; Cucurbitaceae.
AAUCAGGCAUAUAACAGAAAAAAAAAAACUUUUUAUUUGGGUUCUUUUGAAGGGAGAGUUUAACCCUCUAGUGUUCCAGAAGACAACUUUCAUGGGGAACUAUGAUGCCCCGAUUGAUACAUACCCACAUCAACUAUGUUCAUAACAUCAUAUACAUCUCUAUCAUUGUUAUCGCAAUCAACAUUUGUGUUAGAAGUAAGUUUCAGAUUGUUAUCUUUGAGCCAUGUCGCAAGUUUCUUCUUGAAGAUCUCUUCUUCUGUUUCCUGUUCGGAUUGAUCAGUGAUCUCCAUCUCCUGUUCCUAUUUGUCACUAAUCAACAUGGGACCAACACUGUCUUUGAUUAUGUCGGAUUGUGUUGGAGAAGGAGGAGAGUGAAUAGAGGAGAAAAUUGCUAGACUCGAUAUAAUACCAUCAAUGAUAGGAGAAAGUGAUCCUAAGUCCAUUAUGAGAUUAAUCCCAUCCAUGUCCAAAACUUCGAUCUUCGAUUGUAUAGUCUUUCCACUAUCUUUGCUAGGAAAGUCUUUCUUCACUUCAAUAUUUUUCAUGGGGUUUUUGACCCUGUAGACUAAUUUCCC